RNAcentral lists this ribosomal RNA (2902 nucleotides) under metagenome. Its description in RNAcentral is "bacterial LSU rRNA". It matches the Rfam family "Bacterial large subunit ribosomal RNA". The record is from RNAcentral.
UUAAGCGACUAAGCGUACACGGUGGAUGCCCUGGCAGUCAGAGGCGAUGAAGGACGUGCUAAUCUGCGAUAAGCGUCGGUAAGGUGAUAUGAACCGUUAUAACCGGCGAUUUCCGAAUGGGGAAACCCAGUGUGUUUCGACACACUAUCAUUAACUGAAUCCAUAGGUUAAUGAGGCGAACCGGGGGAACUGAAACAUCUAAGUACCCCGAGGAAAAGAAAUCAACCGAGAUUCCCCCAGUAGCGGCGAGCGAACGGGGAGCAGCCCAGAGCCUGAAUCAGUGUGUGUGUUAGUGGAAGCGUCUGGAAAGGCGCGCGAUACAGGGUGACAGCCCCGUACACAAAAAUGCACAUGCUGUGAGCUCGAUGAGUAGGGCGGGACACGUGGUAUCCUGUCUGAAUAUGGGGGGACCAUCCUCCAAGGCUAAAUACUCCUGACUGACCGAUAGUGAACCAGUACCGUGAGGGAAAGGCGAAAAGAACCCCGGCGAGGGGAGUGAAAAAGAACCUGAAACCGUGUACGUACAAGCAGUGGGAGCACGCUUAGGCGUGUGACUGCGUACCUUUUGUAUAAUGGGUCAGCGACUUAUAUUCUGUAGCAAGGUUAACCGAAUAGGGGAGCCGAAGGGAAACCGAGUCUUAACUGGGCGUUAAGUUGCAGGGUAUAGACCCGAAACCCGGUGAUCUAGCCAUGGGCAGGUUGAAGGUUGGGUAACACUAACUGGAGGACCGAACCGACUAAUGUUGAAAAAUUAGCGGAUGACUUGUGGCUGGGGGUGAAAGGCCAAUCAAACCGGGAGAUAGCUGGUUCUCCCCGAAAGCUAUUUAGGUAGCGCCUCGUGAAUUCAUCUCCGGGGGUAGAGCACUGUUUCGGCAAGGGGGUCAUCCCGACUUACCAACCCGAUGCAAACUGCGAAUACCGGAGAAUGUUAUCACGGGAGACACACGGCGGGUGCUAACGUCCGUCGUGAAGAGGGAAACAACCCAGACCGCCAGCUAAGGUCCCAAAGUCAUGGUUAAGUGGGAAACGAUGUGGGAAGGCCCAGACAGCCAGGAUGUUGGCUUAGAAGCAGCCAUCAUUUAAAGAAAGCGUAAUAGCUCACUGGUCGAGUCGGCCUGCGCGGAAGAUGUAACGGGGCUAAACCAUGCACCGAAGCUGCGGCAGCGACGCUGAUGCGUUGUUGGGUAGGGGAGCGUUCUGUAAGCCUGCGAAGGUGUGCUGUGAGGCAUGCUGGAGGUAUCAGAAGUGCGAAUGCUGACAUAAGUAACGAUAAAGCGGGUGAAAAGCCCGCUCGCCGGAAGACCAAGGGUUCCUGUCCAACGUUAAUCGGGGCAGGGUGAGUCGACCCCUAAGGCGAGGCCGAAAGGCGUAGUCGAUGGGAAACAGGUUAAUAUUCCUGUACUUGGUGUUACUGCGAAGGGGGGACGGAGAAGGCUAUGUUGGCCGGGCGACGGUUGUCCCGGUUUAAGCGUGUAGGCUGGUUUUCCAGGCAAAUCCGGAAAAUCAAGGCUGAGGCGUGAUGACGAGGUACUACGGUGCUGAAGCAACAAAUGCCCUGCUUCCAGGAAAAGCCUCUAAGCAUCAGGUAACAUCAAAUCGUACCCCAAACCGACACAGGUGGUCAGGUAGAGAAUACCAAGGCGCUUGAGAGAACUCGGGUGAAGGAACUAGGCAAAAUGGUGCCGUAACUUCGGGAGAAGGCACGCUGAUAUGUAGGUGAAGUCCCUUGCGGAUGGAGCUGAAAUCAGUCGAAGAUACCAGCUGGCUGCAACUGUUUAUUAAAAACACAGCACUGUGCAAACACGAAAGUGGACGUAUACGGUGUGACGCCUGCCCGGUGCCGGAAGGUUAAUUGAUGGGGUCAGCGCAAGCGAAGCUCUUGAUCGAAGCCCCGGUAAACGGCGGCCGUAACUAUAACGGUCCUAAGGUAGCGAAAUUCCUUGUCGGGUAAGUUCCGACCUGCACGAAUGGCGUAAUGAUGGCCAGGCUGUCUCCACCCGAGACUCAGUGAAAUUGAACUCGCUGUGAAGAUGCAGUGUACCCGCGGCAAGACGGAAAGACCCCGUGAACCUUUACUAUAGCUUGACACUGAACAUUGAGCCUUGAUGUGUAGGAUAGGUGGGAGGCUUGGAAGUGUGGACGCCAGUCUGCAUGGAGCCGACCUUGAAAUACCACCCUUUAAUGUUUGAUGUUCUAACGUUGACCCGUAAUCCGGGUUGCGGACAGUGUCUGGUGGGUAGUUUGACUGGGGCGGUCUCCUCCUAAAGAGUAACGGAGGAGCACGAAGGUUGGCUAAUCCUGGUCGGACAUCAGGAGGUUAGUGCAAUGGCAUAAGCCAGCUUGACUGCGAGCGUGACGGCGCGAGCAGGUGCGAAAGCAGGUCAUAGUGAUCCGGUGGUUCUGAAUGGAAGGGCCAUCGCUCAACGGAUAAAAGGUACUCCGGGGAUAACAGGCUGAUACCGCCCAAGAGUUCAUAUCGACGGCGGUGUUUGGCACCUCGAUGUCGGCUCAUCACAUCCUGGGGCUGAAGUAGGUCCCAAGGGUAUGGCUGUUCGCCAUUUAAAGUGGUACGCGAGCUGGGUUUAGAACGUCGUGAGACAGUUCGGUCCCUAUCUGCCGUGGGCGCUGGAGAACUGAGGGGGGCUGCUCCUAGUACGAGAGGACCGGAGUGGACGCAUCACUGGUGUUCGGGUUGUCAUGCCAAUGGCACUGCCCGGUAGCUAAAUGCGGAAGAGAUAAGUGCUGAAAGCAUCUAAGCACGAAACUUGCCCCGAGAUGAGUUCUCCCUGACUCCUUGAGAGUCCUGAAGGAACGUUGAAGACGACGACGUUGAUAGGCCGGGUGUGUAAGCGCAGCGAUGCGUUGAGCUAACCGGUACUAAUGAACCGUGAGGCUUAACCUU